Molecule: long non-coding RNA, 1035 nt
Organism: Vespula pensylvanica (western yellowjacket)
Lineage: Eukaryota; Metazoa; Arthropoda; Insecta; Hymenoptera; Vespidae
Exons: 3
Source: RefSeq, a predicted model, not a curated record
UCUGAGCUCAUGCAGAAACCUGAAUAAUCCAUAAUUCCGCAGUUUCCACGUUCAUGAAUACUCGAAAACACGAUUCACCGUAAAUAGAAAAGAAUCGUAAUGUAUAAAACAAAUGGAUAAAUUCCUUCUUUUUGUUUUUAUUUCUCCUAUGCCUUUUUUUUUUCUUUUUUCUUUUCCUUUACCACGGAAGAAUGAUCUCAUUACGAUAUAUACGGUAUAUAAACAACAAUAUAUCGACAAAAACAAAAGUGUUCAAAGUCAAACCGAACAUCGGUAAUACAUAUAAUAUUUAUUACAAAUAUAAAUUAACCAAAAUACUUUUGUAAACGUACGUAGAAGGAGAGAGAGAAAGAGAGAUUGAGAGAGAGAGAGAGAGAGAGACAGAGAGAGAGAGAGAGAGAGAGAGAGAGAGAGAGAGAGAGAGAGAAUGAAUAACAUAUACCAAAUUAGAAAUGAUUUCCUUGUCGUGCGAAUAAUUGUCGAGAGAAGGGAAACGAUUAAAGUAGAUGUUCAUAAAUUAUAGAAAAUAAGGCAUCGAACGACCUCGCCGCAAACAUAAUUAUUCGAAGACCACAAGCGAACCAAACGCCUGCCUGUCCGCCUUCUAUUCUCUGGACAGUUCCGGAAAGAUCAAAGGGGUUGAAAGCGAUGGAGCGCAACACGUAGAUCAUGGUUGACCACGACGAGCUCUAGUGGUGGUGAUGGUGGUGGUGGUCCUCGAUCGUCGAGGUGCUAGUCGAGCUGGACGUUAGAGAGAUCGAAACCCGAUCAUUUCAUUUUUUCACAUCAACUUUAACAACGACGAAGACGAAGACGACGAUAUCGAAGAACAUCGUCUCCCUUAAUCCAUCCUUCGACAACCCCCGACGCCCUUACCCUCUUUUUGAAGUCCUCCAAAGACACUCAGUUUUUUUUUAUCGUUCAUCAAUAAUUUUCUUACUAAAAGAGAAGAACUCUAUUUCGUAGGAAUAAGUUAAGAUAACUAUUGCCAAUGGAAUGAUAACUUGACAUUUAAAUUAUUCUUCCUUAAAAAAA